AGAACGAACGCUGGCGGCAUGCCUAACACAUGCAAGUCGAACGAGACCUUCGGGUCUAGUGGCGCACGGGUGCGUAACGCGUGGGAAUCUGCCCUUGGGUUCGGGAUAACAGUUGGAAACGACUGCUAAUACCGGAUGAUGACUUCGGUCCAAAGAUUUAUUGCCCAGGGAUGAGCCCGCGUAGGAUUAGCUAGUUGGUGAGGUAAAGGCUCACCAAGGCGACGAUCCUUAGCUGGUCUGAGAGGAUGAUCAGCCACACCUGGGACUGAGACACGGCCCAG
Molecule: ribosomal RNA, 281 nt
Filed under: uncultured soil bacterium
Lineage: Bacteria
Description: partial 16S ribosomal RNA
Rfam family: Bacterial small subunit ribosomal RNA
Source: RNAcentral